CCUACGGGGGGCUGCAGUGGGGAAUAUUGGACAAUGGGGGGAACCCUGAUCCAGCCAUGCCGCGUGUGUGAAGAAGGCCCUCGGGUUGUAAAGCACUUUCAGUGAGGAAGAACGCCUGGUGGUUAAUACCCAUCAGGAAAGACAUCACUCACAGAAGAAGCACCGGCUAACUCCGUGCCAGCAGCCGCGGUAAUACGGAGGGUGCGAGCGUUAAUCGGAAUUACUGGGCGUAAAGCGCGCGUAGGUGGCUUGAUAAGCCGGUUGUGAAAGCCCCGGGCUCAACCUGGGAACGGCAUCCGGAACUGUCAAGCUAGAGUGCAGGAGAGGAAGGUAGAAUUCCCGGUGUAGCGGUGAAAUGCGUAGAGAUCGGGAGGAAUACCAGUGGCGAAGGUGGCCUUCUGGACUGACACUGACACUGAGGUGCGAAAGCGUGGGUAGCAAACAGGAUUAGAUACCCUGGUAGUC
This 465-nucleotide ribosomal RNA is filed under the name Vreelandella stevensii. RNAcentral describes it as "partial 16S ribosomal RNA". It matches the Rfam family "Bacterial small subunit ribosomal RNA", at positions 338 to 795 of the family's 1533-position model. The record is from RNAcentral. Lineage: Bacteria; Pseudomonadati; Pseudomonadota; Gammaproteobacteria; Oceanospirillales; Halomonadaceae.